Medicago truncatula (barrel medic) is the source of this 472-nucleotide long non-coding RNA. RefSeq lists it as uncharacterized. Lineage: Eukaryota; Viridiplantae; Streptophyta; Magnoliopsida; Fabales; Fabaceae. The record is from RefSeq and is a predicted model, not a curated record. The transcript has 2 exons.
CUGAACCCUCCAUACGCUCUCUUUGGUAUGUGAAUCACUUGAACCCUUCAUACUCUCUUCGCUAAGUGAACUGCUGUUGUUUUUUCUUUCUAUUAUUUAUGCAUAUCUAUAAAUUUGUCCUUCAUUCUGAGAUUUAUCUCCAUAAUUGUGCUCCAUGCUCUAAAUUUGUGAUGAUGCAAGUGGUCCAUUGGAGGAUAUAAAUCAACAAAUUUUGUUAUUGGUUUACACGUUUAACUCAUGGGACUCUUGAAGCAACCACACCAGCAACAUGAAACACACCAGAAAAAAUACACAAUUAGUCCCUAAGGUUUAAAUUUUAUUUUGAAAGGAAAGAUGGUUAAAGUGUGAAAGAAAUAUUGAAUCUUUUAAUGUUUAUGUAAUCUGUCCAAGUAGUAAAUAUAGUUUAACAAAAAGGUUCUCAUGUUUAUUCAAGAAUUCAGUCUAUCAAUUAUUGAGUAGUGUCUGAAGCAAA